CCUGGCUUCUCGCUGCCCCUGGUAGCGUUUAGUGGCAGCUCUCCCUCUGCACUGCAUUCAACGGGGUGGCCACCAGUCCCACGUGAUUACUGUUGCUUCUCUGAAUUAAGGUGGAGUCUCUCAGGAGCAGCUCAAAGCCAGCAGCAUGGCUCAGCUGGUAAAGUUGCUUGCUUGCACUGCAAGCCUGACAACCUGAGUUCAAAUCCUGGGACCCACCUGACUUCAGGUGGAAAGAGAGAACUGAUUCCUCAAAGUUACCCUCUUACCUCCACACACAUUGUUGUAUCCUCCUCCCAACACACACACAUCACAAAAAUAAAAUUUUUUUAAGCCAACUGGGCUUGUCCACUA
This is a long non-coding RNA of Peromyscus californicus insignis, 351 nucleotides long. RefSeq lists it as uncharacterized. Lineage: Eukaryota; Metazoa; Chordata; Mammalia; Rodentia; Cricetidae. The transcript has 2 exons. The record is from RefSeq and is a predicted model, not a curated record.